Long non-coding RNA from Rosa rugosa (rugosa rose), 884 nucleotides. RefSeq lists it as uncharacterized. The transcript is spliced from 4 exons. The record is from RefSeq and is a predicted model, not a curated record. Lineage: Eukaryota; Viridiplantae; Streptophyta; Magnoliopsida; Rosales; Rosaceae.
UAUCCCAAACCCAGGUGAACACGAACUUGGUAAGUCAUUCUUGCCAAGCCAAAGCAGAGAUGGAUUUGGAGACAGAAAUCCAUUUGGCGAUGGAGUUGAAGAUGGGGCAAAAGUGCACUGUUUGCUUUGGGUUGCCAGGGAAUUGAAAGCAAGGCUCUUAGCUUUGACUCCAGGUACAAAACAAGUACAGGAGUUGGAGUGUCAUAAAUUCCAGAGUUCCAAACUUUUGAUUUCAACGGCAUAAAAGGCGAGGACAGCAACUGCAGUCAAGACUCCAGAGUUUCAAUUUGAGGAUUCGGUGAGGUGAAGCUUGUAGCUAUGAUAGCUUUGGGAGACGGGGUCCGGCAUGUUCAUCGGGACGCUGCCCGGCAUGGUUCAUCGGAGACGCUGCUCCGGCAUGUUGUCGUCUUUGACAUCAUUGACACUCGGAGGUGCCGUUGUGGGGAGGGCCUGCAACAGAAAAGAAAGGUGGUGGAGAGCUAUGGAAUGAGGUCUGAACCUUUUGUCUUCCAAGCUGCUUUGCUGCUUUCUCCUUCUGUUUUUCCACCGCUGCUGUGCUCCGUUGCGUCCCCCUCACGCUGCCAUACUCCUCACGUCGGUCCUCCUCUUUUUUUGCUGUAGAGUCUCUCUUUAUAUAUAGGCAACUUGGGUUUGCCAAGAUGACGUGAUAGUGAUGGAGUUGGACUCAAACAUAUCAAGGUUGAGAGUUUGUGAUUAAUUUGGCAUUAAUAACUCUACCUUUAUCUGCUGAACGUGUACCCUUCAGCUUCAUUAAUUGUUGUAUUGUUCUACUUUCUCUCCUUUGUAAAGCUAGCGUAACCCAACAGUAGAUAAAGUUAAAAUAAACUUCUAGCAGCACCGUGCUUCUUUUACACUUUUUCCUU